GAUGAAGAACGUAGCGAAAUGCGAUAAGUAAUGUGAAUUGCAGAAUUCCGUGAAUCAUCGAAUCUUUGAACGCACAUUGCGCCAUCUGGUAGUCCGGGGGGCAUGCCUGUCCGAGCGUCAUUUGCAACCCUCAAGCCCGGCUUGUGUGAUGGGUGCCGUCCCCUACGGGACGCGCCCCGAAGGCAAUGGCGGCGUCGCGGUUAUCCGAUCAGCCAAAGUGUAUGGGGCUUUGUCACUCACUUUACGGCCCGGACCGGCGCCAGUCCGAAUCAAUCUUUUUUCUAAAGUUGACCUCGGAUCAGGUAGGGAUACCCGCUGAACUUAAGCAUAUCAAUAAGCGGAGGA
This 345-nucleotide unclassified non-coding RNA is filed under the name soil metagenome. Its description in RNAcentral is "partial contains 5.8S ribosomal RNA, internal transcribed spacer 2, and large subunit ribosomal RNA". The stretch from base 1 to 120 matches the Rfam family "5.8S ribosomal RNA", at positions 35 to 154 of the family's 154-position model. The record is from RNAcentral.